Molecule: ribosomal RNA, 770 nt
Filed under: uncultured cyanobacterium
Lineage: Bacteria; Bacillati; Cyanobacteriota
Description: bacterial SSU rRNA
Rfam family: Bacterial small subunit ribosomal RNA
Source: RNAcentral
UGGCGGUCUGCUUACACAUGCAAGUCGAACGGAAUCCUUCGGGAUUUAGUGGCGGACGGGUGAGUAACACGUAAGAACCUGCCUCUAGGACGGGGACAACAGUUGGAAACGACUGCUAAACCCGGAUGAGCCGAAAGGUAAAAGAUUAAUCGCCUAGAGAGGGGCUUGCGUCUGAUUAGCUAGUUGGUGAGGUAAGAGCCCACCAAGGCGACGAUCAGUAGCUGGUCUGAGAGGAUGAUCAGCCACACUGGGACUGAGACACGGCCCAGACUCCUACGGGAGGCAGCAGUGGGGAAUUUUCCGCAAUGGGCGAAAGCCUGACGGAGCAAGACCGCGUGGGGGAGGAAGGUUCUUGGAUUGUCAACCCCUUUUCUCAGGGAAGAACGCAAUGACGGUACCUGAGGAAAAAGCAUCGGCUAACUCCGUGCCAGCAGCCGCGGUAAUACGGGGGAUGCAAGCGUUAUCCGGAAUGAUUGGGCGUAAAGAGUCCGUAGGUAGUCAUCCAAGUCUGCUGUUAAAGAGCGAGGCUUAACCUCGUAAAGGCAGUGGAAACUGGAAGACUAGAGUGUAGUAGGGGCAGAGGGAAUUCCUGGUGUAGCGGUGAAAUGCGUAGAGAUCAGGAAGAACACCGGUGGCGAAGGCGCUCUGCUGGGCUAUAACUGACACUGAGGGACGAAAGCUAGGGGAGCGAAUGGGAUUAGAUACCCCAGUAGUCCUAGCGGUAAACGAUGGAAACUAGGUGUGGCCUGUAUCGACCCGGGCCGUGCCGA